UACGAAGGGGGCGAGCGUUGUUCGGAAUUACUGGGCGUAAAGGGCGCGUAGGCGGCCAUGCGUGUCUUCCGUGAAAUCCCUCGGCUUAACUGAGGACGUGCGGAAGAAACUGCAAGGCUCGAGUCCGGGAGAGGGGGGUGGAAUUCCCAGUGUAGCGGUGAAAUGCGUAGAUAUCUGGAGGAACACCGGUGGCGAAAGCGACUCACUGGCCCGACACUGACACUGAGGUGCGAAAGCUAGGGUAGCAAACGGG
Molecule: ribosomal RNA, 253 nt
Filed under: uncultured bacterium
Lineage: Bacteria
Description: partial 16S ribosomal RNA
Rfam family: Bacterial small subunit ribosomal RNA
Source: RNAcentral